Molecule: unclassified non-coding RNA, 436 nt
Filed under: uncultured fungus
Lineage: Eukaryota; Fungi
Description: partial contains 5.8S ribosomal RNA, internal transcribed spacer 2, and large subunit ribosomal RNA
Source: RNAcentral
AACGCACAUUGCGCUUCUGGGAAUUACCUGGGAGCAUGCUUGUUUCAGUGUCUGUGGCACCCCUCCAGUGGUCCCCACUGGGAGUAUGGGCGUCCGGCGCGUUAAAAACGCUGGUUGUCUGAAGUGCACCCGUGGAUGCCGCGGCCGAACAGUGCAGUGAUUCGGGUUGUCUUGAGUCCGUGAAUAACGACUUGCGUCCGCAAUACCAGCCUGGUGUGGUGGUGUGCCUGCAAUAUUGGCGCAACCCGCCCCAAGCGCGUUGAUGGGAGUCGUACAUCACACAUUGGACUUCAUGGCAGCUAUUCCAAACGGAUCGGUGCAGCCCCUGUUUGGCGUCCUGUGGCGUCGAGGCCCUCUCCUAAAAAAAGAGGACCCGCCCCCCACCAAACCCAACACACCAGACCUGAAAUCAAGUAGGAGAACCCGCUGAAUUUAA